This 858-nucleotide ribosomal RNA is filed under the name uncultured bacterium. RNAcentral's name for it is "bacterial SSU rRNA". It matches the Rfam family "Bacterial small subunit ribosomal RNA", at positions 76 to 916 of the family's 1533-position model. The record is from RNAcentral.
GCCAAGUGACCUCUUGAUAGCGGCAAACGGGUGAGUAACACGUGAGCAACCUACCNUUAAGACAGACAUAGCUUCGUGAAAACGGAGGUAAUUCCUGAUGAUAUCAUUAGGAUGCAUAUCCUGAUGAUCAAAGGCGGGGACCGCAAGGCCUGCUGCUUAGGGAUGGGCUCGCGUCCUAUCAGCUAGUUGGCGGGGUAACGGCCCACCAAGGCGUUUGACGGGUAGCUGGUCUGAGAGGAUGGUCAGCCACACUGGGCCUGAGACACUGCCCAGACUCCUACGGGAGGCUGCAGUCGAGAGUAUUUAGCAAUGGGCGAAAGCCUGACUAUGCGACGCCGCGUGAAGGAUGAAGGUUUUCGGAUUGUAAACUUCUUUUGUCAGGGAAGAAACCUUUUGCUCUAACAGAUCAAGAGCUGACGGUACCUGAUGAAUAAGCCACGGCUAACUCCGUGCCAGCAGCCGCGGUAAUACGGAGGUGGCAAGCGUUACUCGGAAUCAUUGGGUGUAAAGGGCAAGUAGGCGGUUUAAUAAGUGAGGGGUGAAAUCUCUCGACUCAAUCGGGAGACUGCCUUUCAAACUGUUAAACUUGAAGCAGGAAGGGGGAAAUGGAAUUCUCAGUGUAAGGGUGAAAUCUGUAGAUAUUGAGAAGAACACCGGCGGCGAAGGCGAUUUCCUGGUCCUGUCUUGACGCUAAAUUGCGAAAGCUUGGGGAGCAAACAGAAUUAGAUACUCUGGUAGUCCAAGCCGUAAACGAUGAGCACUAGGUGUUGGGCCGUAAGGUCCAGUGCCGCAGCUAACGCAUUAAGUGCUCCACCUGGGGACUACGGUCGCAAGGCUAAAACUCAAAUGAAUUGACGG